GACGAACGCUGGCGGCGUGCUUAACACAUGCAAGUCGAACGGGAAGGCCCUGCUUUUGUGUGGUGCUCGAGUGGCGAACGGGUGUGUAACACGUGGGUAACCUGCCCUUGACUGUGGGAUAACGUCAGGAAACUGGGGCUAAUACCGGAUAGGAGCUCCUCCUGCAUGGUGUGGGUUGGAAAGUUUCGGCGGGUGGGGAUGGACUCGCGGCUUAGCAGCUUGUUGGUGGGGUAGUGGCUUACCACGGCUUUGACGGGUAGCCGGCCUGAGAGGGUGACCGGGCACAUUGGGACGGAGAUACGGCCCAGACUCCUACGGGGGGCAGAAGUGGGGAAUAUUGCACAAUGGGCGGAAGACUGAUGCAGAAACGCCGCGUGCGGGAUGACGGCCUUCGGGUUGUAAACCGCUUUCGCAUGUGACGAAGCGUGAGUGACGGUAAUGGGUAAAGAAGCACCGGCUAACUACGUG
This 468-nucleotide ribosomal RNA is filed under the name uncultured bacterium. RNAcentral describes it as "partial 16S ribosomal RNA". It matches the Rfam family "Bacterial small subunit ribosomal RNA", at positions 28 to 507 of the family's 1533-position model. The record is from RNAcentral.